GCAAAAUAGUAACUUUCCAUUUGCUACAUUAAAUAAUUAAAAAACUUAAAUCAAAAACAAAAAAAAGGGGAUCCUCUUCUUCUCUCCCAGCUGCGCCACCGUCAACAACCACAGUGGAUGGCUAAGGCACAUGAAUUACAGGUAGCUAAACCUGCUCCAACGGGAAAGAUGAAGUGUCAAAGGUGGGCAAGGUAAAACCCAUUUGAAACAUGUUGAUUGGACUCUACUAAUCGGGAUUCAACAUCGUUGAAAUAGGAAUCAGUCCAUUCAACUCGCCGUCGAAUCUUACGCCAGUUACCUGCUGCACCAUUUGCCUGAAAUUCGCCAAAUCAAUGGUGAUAAACGUCGUCGUUGCGUGCUUCUUUGUACGCGAUUUAAGUUUAGUGAUUUUCCCUAUUUGUUGGUGAGGAACUUAUGUACAGUCUGCUGGUGAGGAAUUUGUAAACAAUUUUGUUAAAGCUUUGUUAAGUGUCUUUGUUUCUUUGGUGAAUAAAUCAAAUAUCCAACCAUACACCAUUCCUGGACCAAAUCUCCGAGGUUGUUGUUUGAUGGUAACUAGAUUAUCAGACGACACCAUUCUUAGACUUGCUUCAUUUCUCACAGUGUUUCGAGAGAUGGGAUGUGCUUUUGGGGAGAGAGAUCUGAUUAUUUGGGCCUCUAGCGGCGAGUUUGUAGCUGAGAAAGGGAGGGAAAAGAGAGAGGAAAGAGAUCUGGCCGUGGCGGUGGCCCGUGGGUUUG
RNAcentral lists this long non-coding RNA (738 nucleotides) under Olea europaea (common olive). Its description in RNAcentral is "long non-coding RNA (OEUR_LNC006720)". Lineage: Eukaryota; Viridiplantae; Streptophyta; Magnoliopsida; Lamiales; Oleaceae. The record is from RNAcentral.